This is a long non-coding RNA of Ooceraea biroi (clonal raider ant), 1799 nucleotides long. RefSeq lists it as uncharacterized. Lineage: Eukaryota; Metazoa; Arthropoda; Insecta; Hymenoptera; Formicidae. The record is from RefSeq and is a predicted model, not a curated record.
CCCCACUAUCGACCACCACCUCCGGCACCGACGCAACCUCCGCGUGUACGAUACUCGAUAACAACGACGAUUCCGUCCACCUCGUCGUUUCCACGCGCGUGUUUCCCGAUAACUACUGGACUUUAAGUAUUGAUAUAGAGGAAGUUACCUCGUUGACCGCGGCGGUGCUUGUAGAAGCCGAUAUAACGAGCCGAACGAUGUUCCUGUCGCAACACGCUGUCACCUGAGAGACUGUAUAAAAACAGUAAUCCUUAAGAACGUCUAUAUAAGUUUGAUUACAGAUGUUCGCUUUCAGGUUUCAUUGUUGAAUAAAAGAUUUCGAAUAAAGGGUUGCUUUAUGAUCUUGGUAUUCAAUUAUGGAAUGCUUAAUUACAUAUUCUAUGAGAACUUACAUCAAAUAUGCACAUAUCACAUGUCUUAAGCAUUCGAUGGUUUAACAAAUAAUAUUCUAACAGAUAGAGAAUAAGAACAACAUAAAUUAAUGUUUCUUUUUAGAGAAGAAGUAUUCAGCUGGGGGGACGUUUAACAUGUAAAAAUGUCGCGGUAUUAUAAAAGAUCUGAAUUGAAUGCUUGCUUAAAUCCGACAUUAAGAUAGAUAAUAGCGGAUAAUAUCAAGGCCAUAGCAUAGAUUUUUCAUAACGCAAUCGACAUGGGUGAACGAGCGUAUUCAGCCACGUGGUGAACAUUUGAGUAAGGAUUCGUGAAUACUGUAUGUAGUGGAUAAUACAUCUGAUCACGAAUAUCAGAGAAGGAAAAAAUUGAAAGUUUUAAGAUGUCAUAAAACAUGUUUGCCGGAAAACACGUAAAAUAUUUAUGUUUGAUAACAUAAAACAAACUCUGAAUUAUAUAAUAGAGAUAUAUUACCCAUUUUGCGAACAAAACAAUUAAUAUCUCUACGUAAUAAAAGAUUACAAGUGGCUCAUUAGGUAAUUACGUGCACUUGGACGCUUAGUACACCUUUCUAAUCUCGUUGACUGCCUUUUGAUGGUAAGAGAUCGCGGUCGACGGUUGUUAUAUACGAAGGUAAGGUGAUCGUUAAGAUGUGGAAAACGCGUCCAUCGGAGUAGAAAUAAUGACAAUUUUCUCCGUGACAUAAUCGAGAAGCCAGUAAUUUUGAAAGCGACACUUCCUCACAACGAAAAUCACAUUGCGACAGUUACAAAAAUGAAACAAUACUUUAAUGAUAUUUUAUAAAUAAUAAUAGAUCGUACCUCUCUUAAAAUAUCUCAUAUAAUGACAACUCCGCUCUUCUUUAUAUAUCAUAUUUAUUUUAUAUUUAUAUAUAAAAUAAAAUAUCUCUAGUAAUAUAAUAUAAACAAUUUUUAUUAUUAUUAAAAUAUGAAAAAUCAUAGCAUCAAAUAAAAAAGGAUUUGAAAAGGAUAUUGAAUUUCGAAUAACGAACUGACGUGACAUAAAUUGAAAUGCAUAUGCCUUUCUUUUAAAAAAAAAGAACAAUAAGAUAAUUUGAAAAAAUCAAUAUUUAAACGGAAAUAAGAAUUGACUUAAUAAGUCAUUUACAAACAAGUAUGCAUAUCCUUAUCUCGUGAUCGGUAGGUAGUUCCGUUUCAUGGAAUCAAUAUUUUUCUUACAAAUCCUGAUAAUUUGCUCUAACGAGCUGAUUUUAUCACACAAUCGACUUAAGCAUUCCUACAUGGUUGUCCAGAAAUUUAAAAAAAGUCUAUAAAGUAAACGCUACAUAUUUAUGUCCGUAACCUCAAACAAAUAUUUUAUUCACUUUUAUUAUCUGAACAUUAUUUGUUAGGUAUAAUAUUGAAUUCGUGUAAUUUCGCAAACGCAAA